RNAcentral lists this long non-coding RNA (303 nucleotides) under Homo sapiens (human). RNAcentral's name for it is "non-protein coding lnc-PDE7A-6:5". The record is from RNAcentral. Lineage: Eukaryota; Metazoa; Chordata; Mammalia; Primates; Hominidae.
AGAGCCUCUCAGGGCCCCAAGACUCCAGGAAGAAACAAGUAUUGUAGAAGCCAAAACCCCAAGGCAAGAUGAGGAAACUGAGGCCCCACGUGGUGAAGACAAUUUUUACCCGAAUCCACCCACAACAAGAGACCAUUUGGAUAAUGUACAUUAUGGGAAGAGAACAGAGUCUCAGUGAAGAUCAUGUUUCCCCAGCAACACAGGUGCCAGGAGUAGCUGGCUCUGGUCCCAGCCCAGACUCAGAAAUCCUGAGCCACCAGACCAUUUCUAGAUUAACAAAGGCCUGCAUUAAUUUGAUUUCAG